GUCGGGGUAGCUUAAGUUAAAGCUGUCGAUUUUUGAUCGACUGAUGGGGUGUCCUUCUCGGUG
This 63-nucleotide transfer RNA is filed under the name Barbatia decussata. RNAcentral describes it as "tRNA-Lys". The record is from RNAcentral. Lineage: Eukaryota; Metazoa; Mollusca; Bivalvia; Arcoida; Arcidae.